RNAcentral lists this ribosomal RNA (1173 nucleotides) under Vibrio parahaemolyticus. RNAcentral describes it as "partial 23S ribosomal RNA". It matches the Rfam family "Bacterial large subunit ribosomal RNA", at positions 1694 to 2925 of the family's 2925-position model. Lineage: Bacteria; Pseudomonadati; Pseudomonadota; Gammaproteobacteria; Vibrionales; Vibrionaceae. The record is from RNAcentral.
GAGAACUCGGGUGAAGGAACUAGGCAAAAUGGUACCGUAACUUCGGGAGAAGGUACGCUCUUGAUGGUGAAGUCCCUCGCGGAUGGAGCUGACGAGAGUCGCAGAUACCAGGUGGCUGCAACUGUUUAUUAAAAACACAGCACUGUGCAAAAUCGUAAGAUGACGUAUACGGUGUGACGCCUGCCCGGUGCCGGAAGGUUAAUUGAUGGGGUUAGACUUCGGUCGAAGCUCUUGAUCGAAGCCCCGGUAAACGGCGGCCGUAACUAUAACGGUCCUAAGGUAGCGAAAUUCCUUGUCGGGUAAGUUCCGACCUGCACGAAUGGCGUAAUGAUGGCCACGCUGUCUCCACCCGAGACUCAGUGAAAUUGAAAUCGCUGUGAAGAUGCAGUCGUACGCCAGUAUGUGUGGAGCCGUCCUUGAAAUACCACCCUUGUAGUGUUGAUGUUCUAACGUCGACCCCUAAUCGGGGUUGCGGACAGUGCCUGGUGGGUAGUUUGACUGGGGCGGUCUCCUCCCAAAGAGUAACGGAGGAGCACGAAGGUGGGCUAAUCACGGUUGGACAUCGUGAGGUUAGUGCAAUGGCAUAAGCCCGCUUGACUGCGAGAAUGACAAUUCGAGCAGGUGCGAAAGCAGGUCAUAGUGAUCCGGUGGUUCUGAAUGGAAGGGCCAUCGCUCAACGGAUAAAAGGUACUCCGGGGAUAACAGGCUGAUACCGCCCAAGAGUUCAUAUCGACGGCGGUGUUUGGCACCUCGAUGUCGGCUCAUCACAUCCUGGGGCUGAAGUCGGUCCCAAGGGUAUGGCUGUUCGCCAUUUAAAGUGGUACGCGAGCUGGGUUUAGAACGUCGUGAGACAGUUCGGUCCCUAUCUGCCGUGGGCGUUGGAAGAUUGAAGGGGGCUGCUCCUAGUACGAGAGGACCGGAGUGGACGAACCUCUGGUGUUCGGGUUGUGUCGCCAGACGCAUUGCCCGGUAGCUAAGUUCGGAAUCGAUAACCGCUGAAAGCAUCUAAGCGGGAAGCGAGCCCUGAGAUGAGUCUUCCCUGAUACUUUAAGUAUCCUAAAGGGUUGUCGGAGACUACGACGUUGAUAGGUCAGGUGUGUAAGUGCUGUGAGGCAUUGAGCUAACUGAUACUAAUUGCCCGUGAGGCUUAACCAUACAACACCCAAGGGGUUU